CGCGUUGGCCCAAUUGAUUGAUCGGUGCUUGCACCUGAUUGAUUUUGGUCGCCAACGAGUGGCGGACGGGUGAGUAACACGUAGGUAACCUGCCCAGAAGCGGGGGACAACAUUUGGAAACAGAUGCUAAUACCGCAUAACAGCGUUGUUCGCAUGAACAACGCUUAAAAGAUGGCUUCUCGCUAUCACUUCUGGAUGGACCUGCGGUGCAUUAGCUUGUUGGUGGGGUAAUGGCCUACCAAGGCGAUGAUGCAUAGCCGAGUUGAGAGACUGAUCGGCCACAAUGGGACUGAGACACGGCCCAUACUCCUACGGGAGGCAGCAGUAGGGAAUCUUCCACAAUGGGCGCAAGCCUGAUGGAGCAACACCGCGUGAGUGAAGAAGGGUUUCGGCUCGUAAAGCUCUGUUGUUAAAGAAGAACACGUAUGAGAGUAACUGUUCAUACGUUGACGGUAUUUAACCAGAAAGUCACGGCUAACUACGUGCCAGCAGCCGCGGUAAUACGUAGGUGGCAAGCGUUAUCCGGAUUUAUUGGGCGUAAAGAGAGUGCAGGCGGUUUUCUAAGUCUGAUGUGAAAGCCUUCGGCUUAACCGGAGAAGUGCAUCGGAAACUGGAUAACUUGAGUGCAGAAGAGGGUAGUGGAACUCCAUGUGUAGCGGUGGAAUGCGUAGAUAUAUGGAAGAACACCAGUGGCGAAGGCGGCUACCUGGUCUGCAACUGACGCUGAGACUCGAAAGCAUGGGUAGCGAACAGGAUUAGAUACCCUGGUAGUCCAUGCCGUAAACGAUGAGUGCUAGGUGUUGGAGGGUUUCCGCCCUUCAGUGCCGGAGCUAACGCAUUAAGCACUCCGCCUGGGGAGUACGACCGCAAGGUUGAAACUCAAAGGAAUUGACGGGGGCCCGCACAAGCGGUGGAGCAUGUGGUUUAAUUCGAAGCUACGCGAAGAACCUUACCAGGUCUUGACAUCUUGCGCCAACCCUAGAGAUAGGGCGUUUCCUUCGGGAACGCAAUGACAGGUGGUGCAUGGUCGUCGUCAGCUCGUGUCGUGAGAUGUUGGGUUAAGUCCCGCAACGAGCGCAACCCUUGUUACUAGUUGCCAGCAUUAAGUUGGGCACUCUAGUGAGACUGCCGGUGACAAACCGGAGGAAGGUGGGGACGACGUCAGAUCAUCAUGCCCCUUAUGACCUGGGCUACACACGUGCUACAAUGGACGGUACAACGAGUCGCGAACUCGCGAGGGCAAGCAAAUCUCUUAAAACCGUUCUCAGUUCGGACUGCAGGCUGCAACUCGCCUGCACGAAGUCGGAAUCGCUAGUAAUCGCGGAUCAGCAUGCCGCGGUGAAUACGUUCCCGGGCCUUGUACACACCGCCCGUCACACCAUGAGAGUUUGUAACACCCAAAGUCGGUGGGGUAACCUUUUAGGAGCCA
This 1429-nucleotide ribosomal RNA is filed under the name Limosilactobacillus fermentum. RNAcentral describes it as "bacterial SSU rRNA". It matches the Rfam family "Bacterial small subunit ribosomal RNA". Lineage: Bacteria; Bacillati; Bacillota; Bacilli; Lactobacillales; Lactobacillaceae. The record is from RNAcentral.